This 253-nucleotide ribosomal RNA is filed under the name uncultured bacterium. RNAcentral's name for it is "partial 16S ribosomal RNA". It matches the Rfam family "Bacterial small subunit ribosomal RNA", at positions 524 to 776 of the family's 1533-position model. The record is from RNAcentral.
UACGUAGGGUGCAAGCGUUAAUCGGAAUUACUGGGCGUAAAGCGUGCGCAGGCGGUCUGUUAAGAGAGAUGUGAAAUCCCCCGGCUUAACCUGGGAACUGCGUCUGAUACGGGGAGGCUUGAGUAUGGGAGAGGGAUGUAGAAUUCCAGGUGUAGCGGUGAAAUGCGUAGAUAUCUGGAGGAAUACCGGUGGCGAAGGCGGCAUCCUGGACCAUAACUGACGCUGAGGCGCGAAAGCGAGGGGAGCAAACGGG